GUUGCCUUCAUUUCGGCAUCAUUCGGGAUAGAUUUCGAAGUAAAACAAAUCUGUAGCUACAUCUCCGAUGUAGAAAGUCUAAUGGUACCAAUUGUCUAUUUAGUUUUGUCUCGUUUACAAUGGAGGCCAAGGGACUUGCAUUUAUUCACCACCCAAGAUGGAGGCAAUCUCUACUCAGACAGGUGUGACAUUCUGUGAGGAGGCACCGUACAGACCUACAAAGGACCAAUCUGUUAUUACAUCUACAACAGAGGAGAAAGUUAAGGACCUUUACCCUAAUUUACGGUGUAAUGUAUGAGGUUCACAGAUUUGAAAAAAGGGCAAAUGGUAGUUACAUGAAUACUCUAUGAUGUUCUAGCACACAACUUUGAUAUUUGUUUGCAAAAUCUGAAAAGGUUUAAAAUUGCCCUACGUAUAUCCUGUAAAGUGAGUCAAAUAGUGACGAGGUACGGACUUGGUCUAGCAAAAAUCUGAGAAAUCUAGAAAAGCUAUUUGCAAUACCUGAUGUUGCAGGUCAAGCCCAAAAAACGAAAGCAGUUAUUUUAGCUGUUCUUGAAAGAAUGUCUGAAAUAAAUCUCAGAAAGAAAAGGAUACAUCAGGCCAAAAAUAUAGAGCAGAUGAAAUAUCAGACGAUGGCCAGCUCCAUCUGCUUGACAUGCCUGGGACCUAAAGCAAGACUGGUAUCUCCUCAUCAUGCUAAAGAAACUAUCUCUAAUGAGACUUAUCUGGUACAGUGCACUGAUAAAGCAGCCAUACUUAGCCAGGUAAAUGGACUUGCAGAUAUUUGCAUUAAGGAAGAGUCUGAUCUGCACUGAAGGAUCAUAGAGCAAGCCUCAGACUCUGGUAACAGCCAAGUAGACCUAUACUACUGUUCAAAAGUUUGGGGUCACUAAGAAAUAUCCUUUUUUUCCAUGAAAACAUACAUGAAAUGAGUUGCAAUGUCACGACUUCCGCCGAAGUCGGUUCCUCUCCUUGUUCGGGCGGCGCUCGGGGGUCGGCGUCGCCGGUCUUCUAGCCAUCAUCGAUCGACCUUUCAUUUUCCAUUUGUUUUGUCUUGUCUUCUCACACACAUGGUCUCAAUUUCCCUCAUUACAUGUUGUGUAUUUAACCCUCUGUUCCCCCCAUGUCUUUGUGCGGAAUCGUUUAUUGUUAAUGCAUGUGCACGUGCACGGUUUCUCUGGUGCGCGACGGGUUUUGUACCCAUUUGUUUGUGGUUCUGGUUACCGGUGGUUUUAUGAAUAAAACUGCUCCGUUGAUUACCAAGUUUUGCUCUCCUGCUCCUGACUUCCCUGCCGCCAGUUACGCACUCCCUUACAGAAUUCCGCACCGACUAAUUUCUGGCCAUUUUGAGCCUGUAAAUAAACCCACAAAUGCUGGUUCUCCAGAUACUCAGCUAGUCUAAAGAAGGCCAGUUUUAUUGCAUUUUUAAUCAGAACAACAGUUUUCAGCUUUGCUAACAUAAUUGCAAAAGGGUUUUCUAAUGAUCAAUUAGCCUUUUAAAAUGAUAAACUUGGAUUAGCUAACACAACAUGCCAUUGGAACACAGUAGUGAUGGUUGCUGAUAAUGGGCCUCUGUAUACAAAUGUAGAUAUAUUCCAUAAAAAAUCAGCCGUUUCCAGCUACAAUAGUAA
RNAcentral lists this long non-coding RNA (1631 nucleotides) under Salmo salar (Atlantic salmon). Its description in RNAcentral is "lncRNA (ENSSSAG00000090845.1)". Lineage: Eukaryota; Metazoa; Chordata; Actinopteri; Salmoniformes; Salmonidae. The record is from RNAcentral.